AUACGUCCGCGGUCAUAUGCGCGCUCGUCUCCGGUACUGAGCGAGAGAGAAGCGAAGCAGAGGCCGAAAGAGAGGGGGGAGAGAGAUUUUAGGGUUAGGGUUUCCAUCCCUUGUUAUUCCAUCUAUCGUUGUGUAGAAAUGGAGGGCUGGGAUCCGAACACGAAGUCGACUCUGACUCAGAUCCCGUUGCUCUCCACCAGAGCUGGCCCACGAGAUGGGCCGGCGUGGACACAGCGUCUCAAAGAGGAGUACAAAUCCCUCAUCGCGUACACCUCCAUGAACAAAUCCAACGAUAACGAUUGGUUUCGGAUAUCGGCCGCCAACCCCGAGGGCACGCGGUGGACCGGCAGGUGCUGGUACGUCCACAACCUCCUUAAAUACGAAUUCGACCUCCAAUUCGACAUCCCUGUCACCUACCCGGCAACCGCCCCCGAGAUCGAGCUGCCCCAGCUUGAUGGAAAGACCCACAAGAUGUAUAGAGGAGGGAAGAUUUGCUUGACGGUGCAUUUCAAGCCAUUGUGGGCGAAGAAUUGCAAUAGGGUAGGAAGAAAGAUCUACAAGCUUGACAUGGAGACAGUGUGCGACCACGUUGACGUGAAGUUUCUCAACUAUAUGCUGGAUAGGAUGGGAUGUUGUGCAGUUUGGAGAUGGAUCUAGGAAUUUGUAAGUUCAGCUAGAUAUUCUUUGUGGGUGAAUGGAUCCGGGGGCUGCAGAAACUCUUAGGAGGUUGCUGUAGAAAGCAAGAGUAAUGGGCUUGAUUUGCAGUUUUAAGGUGGAAAGUGUGAGAUUUCAGUUUUCCUAUCACUAGUUUGCUGAUGACACCUUGUUAUUCUGUGAUGCUAAAGAGUUGCAAGUGGACAAGCCAAGGAAGUCUUUUUGUUUGAGGUGGUUUCUGGUCCGAACAUCAACAUCCAUAAGAGUAAGAUUGUGGUAGUUAGGUUGGAACCUGUGGAGGUGGAUUGAUUUUCCUGGGCAUUUAGCUGUAAGCCGGCUUGUCUUCCUUCUUACUUGGGCCUUCUGCUAUGAAUUGUCAAGCCAACGAAACACUUGUGGGACAAUUAUUGACAGAAUCGAAUUAAAGCUCUCCAGUUGGAAGUGGAGAUACUUGUCAUUGGGUGGCAGAAUCACACUUAUUAAGGCAGCCAUGCCCAAUAUGCCACUGUUGUACAUGCUAUUAUUCCAGUCUAUGCCACUGUUCUGCAUGUCAUUUGUCCAGUGUCCAGCUUCAAUCUUAGCACGUUGGAAAAGCUUCGUAGAAAUUCUCUGGAAAGGGACAAGAUGAGCAUAGAGUUCACCUCGUGAAUUGGAGUAUGCAGGCCCACAGUGAAGGAGGGCAAGUAUUGGGGAUUUGAAAUCUAUGAAUGCAGGCCCACCAAUGCAUUGGGAAAGUGGUUAUGGUCCUUCUGGAUCUUUGGAAUGAAAGGUGACAGUUUAUAGAAGCAGAUUAUUUCCUGUAAAUAAGGGUUAGAGAGGGGAGGGUGAAGCCUCUUUAGUACCCCAAAAGGCCAUCUUCAGAGUUGUGGAUAUGUUCAAGAAAGAAACUUCAUAUACGGUUGGUAAUGGAACCCACACCUGGUUUUGGGAGGAUGUUUGGUGUGCUGAUAGGCUCAGAGAUGGUAAGCUCUCAGUGCUUCGAUUUAUUAUGCGGUCAUGUGGUUUAGGCUCCACCUUGUCACAGGAAUCCUGAUGAGUUUAGAGUUGGAGAAAUGGUGGGUUUGCUGACGUUAUUGCAGCUGUUCCCCCGCCACGCUUGAAAGUGAUAGAUGAGUUCGGAGAUUGGAAAUCUAAGGCAGAUUCUUGUUCCUCUCCACGGGAAUCUUCUGUGCCAAUGGAGUUCAUUGGGUCUUUCCUAAUGUAGACAAUUGGCAAGUUAAAUGGUGAUCAAAUGCAUGCAUUUUUUAUGUCUUCGGGAUGCUGAAUCGGAGGAUAAUCUCUUUACACUUUCCCCUUUGCUAUGGCUGUCAGAGGGCUUCUUCAACCUAUUUCACUGUUGCUGGGUGGUGCCAUAGUCGAUUAGGUCUUUUUUCUUCCCAUGUCAUGGGGAGGAGUGGGCCCCAAAGGGAGAAUUCUUGCAAGCUUGUGGUCAAUUUGGGUAGAGCGUAAUAAUUGAUGUUUUAGAAACUGAUCCCGAAACCCUGAUGAGGUGUUUAGGAAGGCAAAGGUGGAAGUAGUUUCUUGGGCAGUUUGCUGGUGUAUUUUUUGAGAAUGUCAAUUCCUUUCAGUUAGUUUCCAGCCGUUUCCUUUUAAUCUGUAGAGCUUUGAUUUCUCGUCUCCGCUCUUCUGCUUCUAAUAAUAUUUUCAGUUCCUGUUUCAUUUUCUUUCUGCCAGAAUCAAAUACAAUUUUUGUGUGCAAGCAACUUAAUUUUAUCGGAACUAAAACAAACCAAUACAAAAGCUAAGACAGACCCCAGCACUAGCAAUAUUGCCUAAACAACAGCAGCUCUGCCUAGUGACUAAAUGAAUAGUUUAAUCAAGAAGCAGAGAACUGAAGAAAAAGCAGCCAGCUAUAUAUAAAUAAAUUUCAAAAAAAAAAAAAAGAGGAAAGAAAGAGAAAGAAAACAACCAUAGGAUGGCACCCCAGUGUCACCUAGCCACCAGGAUCAGACUCCAAUCCUUGCUGAUCUCUGCUACCAAUUCCCCACUGCGAACCUCGUGAUUCGUUGCCAGAAUCAAACACAUGGUAUGGCAUCACAUGUUUCACACAAUAGUAAUGUAGCCCCAGAUUCGGAAUUGCCCAUGCUCUUUGCUUGGGUCUUGCUCCAUGGCUAGCUGCAGAGGUGCCUAUUCUUGUGGAUUCAGGCAUGGUGAAACACAAAGAUGAUGCAACCUCAUCAGUCGAAUCUUAGUACAGUUUUUUUUUAUUAUUUAAAAUAAUUGUAAGACCAUUUACUAAUGUCUUGUAAUUUUAGGACUUCGGAUGGACAAAUAAAUUUGAGAGGCAUUGAACAGUUA
Magnolia sinica is the source of this 2952-nucleotide RNA transcript. It is a transcript of the gene named ubiquitin-fold modifier-conjugating enzyme 1, with no coding region annotated. The transcript is spliced from 4 exons. The record is from RefSeq and is a predicted model, not a curated record. NCBI's taxonomy places the organism in Eukaryota, Viridiplantae, Streptophyta, Magnoliopsida, Magnoliales, Magnoliaceae.